RNAcentral lists this unclassified non-coding RNA (1948 nucleotides) under Hevea brasiliensis (rubber tree). The record is from RNAcentral. Lineage: Eukaryota; Viridiplantae; Streptophyta; Magnoliopsida; Malpighiales; Euphorbiaceae.
AAUUAUGUACUACAGGAAAUAUCACAAUCAGGAAUUCUGCAUUGAAAAAGUCAAAAUGCAACAAUCCAAAGAAGUAGCACAAAUUACUUCCAUUAAGUACAAGUACAUAUCAAUGUUUGAACUUUAACACAGUAGAACGUAGAAACCUUUUGGUCAUAUGCCCUAAAAAAAGAUAAGCUAAUUAUAGCACCCCAAGCAGGAGGAAAAAAAACACAUCUGCACAGUAAGAAAUGGGCUAGCGGAUCACUUGAAAACUGUAGAGAUGUAGAUAAAAACUCCAAAUCUAUGAUGAUUGAUAAGGUUCUUUUUCUCGCACCAAAACCGGGAGCCCACCGCUAAAAGUGGCUGUCAGCCCUGGGGAGAAACGUGGAGUGUGACAUGAGGUCAUUAAGUGGAUUUGAAAUCGUCGAAGCAAUGAAAUAGCCACACAUUUAAGCUCCAGUAAAGCCAUAUCUUUGCCCAAACAGACCCUUAGUCCUGCUUGGAAAACUGGAUACUUAUAAGGGUUUUCAGGGAAGAAUGUGCCAUCAUCUCUCAACCACCUUUCUGGCCUGAAUUCUAAGCAAUCUUGACCCCAGAGUUCUUCAAUCCGUCCCAUAGCGUAUGGAUGGUAAGUAACCCUAGUUCCUCUCCUCACCAAAGUCCCAUCUGGUAAAAUAUCAUCUUUUUCACAAAACUUUGAAUCAAAUUGGAUAGGAGGAUACAGUCUCAUACUCUCGUAAACUGCUGCUUGUAAAUAAUGGAGAUCUCCCAUUUGUUCAUAGCUUCUGAGCUCUUGAUUGGGUCCAAGAACGCUAUCCGCCUCUUCCAGAAUUGCUGAUCCUACUUGUGGGUACUUAGCCAGCAGCCAGAAGAAGCUGGUUAAGGCUGAAGCCACCGUGUCUCGGCCAGCCAAGAGGAAACUUAUGACGAUAUCUCUCAAGUAAGUCUCAUCAGUCACAGUAUGCAUAAAGCGAGAUAAAAGAUCCUUGUGAGAUAGAAAUCCCAUCUUACGCCUUUGCCUUAUCACCUCUUGGGCUAAAAUAUUGAUCAACUUGAUAGCUUCUUUCAUUUUCUUCUCCGUCCCUAAAUUCAGCUUCCGUUUGAUCUUCCAAACAAGUGGAGACACAGUCAUGGCUCUCUCGGCUGACAAUUUCGAUGCUAGGUCAAAGGCAUAAGCGAAAUCUGACAUGGGUAGAGUAAUCUCUAAGCAUCUGGGGUCUAGCCCAAACGAAAAUCGGCAAAUACAAUCGAAAGAAAAUCUUCGAAACACGUCUUGUAAAUCCAAGACUCCAUCUUCUUUGCCCGAAACUGAUGAUAACAGUGGAAUAAGGCGAUCUCCAAUCUCAUAACGAACGAUCUCAAAUGCAUAUGCUCUUAUAGAGAACUUAUCCAGCUCGAGACUUGCCAUCUUUCGCUGAAACUUCCACAAGUCACCAUCAACGUUGAAUAUGCCUCGACCCAAAAAGUCACCCAAGAUGGUCGAGAAAGGUUUCCCUUUUGGGUAAUUAUCAAAUCUCGUUUUGAGCAUAUACUCAACGUUUUCUGGAUUGGCUGUGAUUGUAUUGCCAAGAACAUGUAUGUGGAUUGUUUUGGUAGGAGAGUUCUUCAAAAGAUGAGCAUACCAAUCACAAAGAUUAUUGAAUUGGUUGGUCCAACUCAAGGUCAGAUAAGCGUCGCAUAUCUCACAGUUGCACCAGAGCUUUAAUCUCAGUAAGUAGAGUAAGAGAGACAAAAGAAAGAAAGCUAUGAUGGCCAAUAAAAGAAAGAAAUAGAUGGAAUGGUGAGCUUCCAAAAGCAAUGAAACUUCAAGCUCCAUUAAUGGAUAAAGAUUUGUUAAGAAAAAAGGGAAAGUAACCAAGAGAGAAUAAAAAAGAGGAUUUGAGAAUGACACAGACAAAGAAGAGACCAGUAGGAUGAACAAGAGCGUAAUUGAAGGGUUUUUAUGUAUGGCUUAUUGUUUUCUUUA